GCGGGUGUAGUUCAAUGGCAGAACGGCAGCUUCCCAAGCUGCAUACGCGGGUUCGAUUCCCGUCACCCGCUCCA
This 74-nucleotide transfer RNA is filed under the name Methylophilaceae bacterium. RNAcentral's name for it is "tRNA-Gly". It matches the Rfam family "tRNA". Rfam says of the family: Transfer RNA (tRNA) molecules are approximately 80 nucleotides in length. The record is from RNAcentral. Lineage: Bacteria; Pseudomonadati; Pseudomonadota; Betaproteobacteria; Nitrosomonadales; Methylophilaceae.